UUGAUGUCCACUGUGACCAUAG
Molecule: microRNA, 22 nt
Filed under: Mus musculus (house mouse)
Lineage: Eukaryota; Metazoa; Chordata; Mammalia; Rodentia; Muridae
Description: mmu-miR-3073a-3p
Source: miRBase by way of RNAcentral